GGUUUGAUAGUAUACGUAGUAUAGCGGGCUCAUGCCCUGAAGGACGGGGUUUAAGCCCCC
This 60-nucleotide transfer RNA is filed under the name Anadara antiquata. RNAcentral describes it as "tRNA-Met". Lineage: Eukaryota; Metazoa; Mollusca; Bivalvia; Arcoida; Arcidae. The record is from RNAcentral.